GAGGAAUAAGCAUCGGCUAACUCCGUGCUAGCAGCCGCGAUAAUACGGAUGAUGCAAGCAUUAUCCGGAAUCAUUGGUCUUAAUGUGUCUGUAGAUGGAUUAAUAAGUCUGUUGAUAAAGACUAGGGCUUAACCAUAGAAAAGCAAUGCAAACUACUAGACUAGAGUAUCGCAGGGGCAGAGGAGAUUUCUAGAGUAGCGGUCAAAUGCGUAGAUAUUAGCAAGAACACCGGCUGCGACAGCCCUCUACUGGACCAUUACUGAGACUCAGAGGCGAAAGCUGUGGUAGCAAAAGGGAUUAGAUACUCUUGUAGUCCUAGCCGUAAACUAUGGACACAACAUGUUGUGCAUCAUGGCCAGUAUGCUAACUAGAGCGUAAACUCUCCCGCCUGGGGAGUACGCUCUCAAGGCUGAAACUCAUAGCAAUUGACAGGAUCCCGCACAAGCGGUGGAGCAUAUGCGUUAAUUCGAUGCAACCAGAAGUACAUCAUCAGGACUUGACAUACUACUAAUUCAUUUGAGACACAGAAGUGCGUUCUGGAAUGUAUAUACAGCUGUUGCAUGCCUGUCGUAAGCUCGUGUCGAGCAGAGUAGAGUCCAGUCCCGCAACGAGCGCUACCCUAAUUUAUAGUUACUCAUUCGUUGACUUCUCUAUGAAGACUGCUCGUGACUAAUCGGAGCUAGGUGAUUAUAAUGCCAAGUCAAGAUGCACCUUAAGUACUGGACAAUCCACGUACUACAAUAGCUACGACAAGAGACGCGAGCUCAUUACAGACAGCACUCUCAUCCACUUAGCCCAGCUGCAGAUGUCGGCAGCAACCCGCUACUUAAA
This 831-nucleotide ribosomal RNA is filed under the name uncultured marine bacterium. RNAcentral's name for it is "bacterial SSU rRNA". It matches the Rfam family "Bacterial small subunit ribosomal RNA", at positions 481 to 1324 of the family's 1533-position model. The record is from RNAcentral.